UGAAAAACAGGAUUUUUUUUCGGUUCUAAGUCAGGCAGAGUUAUCCAGGUAUUGCAGUAUAGUAUGCUGAGCAUUUAUGGGUGGAGCCUCAAUAGUGCUUGGCGUGUGGCUUAUUUAGUGAUUCAAAUACACAACAACGCACCAUUAAACUUUGGUGCGCUGAUGACUCUUGUUGAUUCCUCAAGGUACAAAUGUGAGGCCUCCUCACUCCUGUGGCACCAGCUGGUCUGCAGAAAGAGCAGGAAAACACACAUCUUUAGUAAGACUGAGCAUUUGCAUUUAGGAAAAACUAAUAAAGGUACAUGCUGCCUUACUGUUAUUGGAAGAAAAAGGAACAUGUCAUGUAACCCCUCCUUACACAGCUAUAGAUGCUUUAAUACGAUUAUAAAGUCUUACCCUGUCUCUUGCCUGCUAAAUGAUCCUUUCAGCUGCUGCUAGGUGGCUCUAGGCGGUGUACCUGCACUCCAGGCUGACCUAGCCCAUCUGGUGCCAUUGUACUCAAGGCAGCCCAUGUCCUCAGGAAAGCUGUUUCAUUACUAUUGCCCUGUUGAGGUUCUAGGAUUUAACUAGAUACAAACGUCACUAUCGUGAUUUCAUGUUCUAGAUGUCGUUGGAUCUGAAAGAGAUUUGAAAAACAAUUAAAAACAAGUCAUUUCCCUUGUUUGUUUUUUUAAACAUUGUUUACCAGCAAGCACAAACCACUGCAAAUCAUGUAAACUAAUUUUACCCAUUUUGGUGCAAAUCAAAGACACAACAAGAAUACUGCCCUAAAGGGAAUCUUUAAGCAGGUGGUGCAGACAGUUGCUCUCUCCUUUUACCUCCUGACUGCUUUUUACCUAGUUUUCCUUGUUGUUUGUGUUCUUGUCAACUCUGAUAGCAUGAGAAUUCUUCUGGACAAGCUAGUGAUUGGAUGAUAGACAAUGUCAUCACGGGACCCCUAUCAAAUCUGGAUCAGGCAUCAGUGAGCUCCUAGAAAAUUCAAGUUGUCAUUUCACAGUUACUUUUAUUUGCACCAAAGCAAGUAAAAUUGAUUUACAAUUGUUCCUAAAUGGACAGAUUGAAAUUUAGUUGAGUAGGUAUUGUACUGUGUGCGGUUUUUUGAGCAAAGUGAAAACUAAUCUUACUCCACAAGCUGACCUUUACUCAACUGGUUGAACCAGUUCAUGUUUUAAGUCCAGAUGCAACUACACAUUUGAGUGAUUGCAUCUGGCCACUUCUUCCAGAUCAUAUGCGGGACACUUAGUCACUCGCAAUCUAGUCAUGAUACACAAUCUCCUCUGUCAGUCCUGAGGCCUCCUUCAGGUUGGAGAAGGCUAGAAACACAUCACCAUGCUCCAUUUGAUGUGAAGGACAAGCAAUUUUACCCUCAAAUGACCAAGCUCCUCACUCCAUCUCUAAGGGAGAGCCCCGCUCCUCUAUGAAGGAAGCUCACAAUCCAUCACUACAGAUGUGUGCAUCAGAGCACCAGGACCUCUGCCCGAUCCACAAAUCCCAAAAUAGUGUCCCACAGAAGAAUUGACCCAUUUAGCUUCUUCAGCUUGAGCCUGGCUGGGCCACCUGGAGUUCGCCCUUGAGCCAUCCCCUCAGGCUUGGCUUCAGAUUAGGACCCCGGUAGCCAUGUCCCAGAAAGGGUAUACUGGUAUCUUGAUUUUUCUUGGCAUUGGAGUUAUCUAAAUCACUUUUCCCUGCAUAUUCUUUUGAUUGGAUCAUGAUGCCCAACAUUUCAACAUGCUCAUACGACUACAGAUAAGUCGAAUACACAACGCAUUUAAAAUAGGUAUUUAUUUAAGUUUCCCACACGGGCAGGUUGGGGCACGCUUUCGGUUCCCCAUCCGCUGACUUCCCAGGUUGGGGCACGCUUGCAGUUCCCCAUCUGCCGACGCCCUCAGUUGGGGCAUGUGCUUGCCUUCCUCAUCUGCCAACGUGCCAAGUUGGGGCCCGCUUGCGUUUCCC
Molecule: long non-coding RNA, 1953 nt
Organism: Oreochromis aureus
Lineage: Eukaryota; Metazoa; Chordata; Actinopteri; Cichliformes; Cichlidae
Source: Ensembl